RNA transcript from Strigops habroptila (Kakapo), 2899 nucleotides. It is a transcript of the gene named CUGBP Elav-like family member 4, with no coding region annotated. The record is from RefSeq and is a predicted model, not a curated record. Lineage: Eukaryota; Metazoa; Chordata; Aves; Psittaciformes; Psittacidae. The transcript has 15 exons.
AUGUAUAUAAAGAUGGCCACGUUAGCAAACGGACAACCAGACAAUACCAGCCUGAGUAGCAAUCACAGCAACCCCAGCACCAACGGGCAUAUGAACGGAUUAAACCAUAGUCCCGGAAACCCAUCCACCAUCCCAAUGAAGGACCACGAUGCCAUUAAGCUCUUUAUUGGGCAAAUCCCCCGUAACCUGGACGAGAAAGACCUCAAACCGCUCUUCGAGGAGUUCGGGAAGAUCUAUGAACUGACAGUGCUGAAGGACAGGUUCACUGGCAUGCACAAAGGCUGUGCCUUCCUAACGUACUGCGAAAGGGAAUCUGCUCUAAAGGCCCAGAGUGCCCUGCAUGAACAGAAGACUCUGCCGGGGAUGAACAGACCGAUCCAGGUGAAACCAGCGGACAGCGAAAGCCGAGGAGAAGAUAGAAAACUCUUUGUGGGCAUGCUCAAUAAGCAGCAGUCAGAAGAUGAUGUGCGCAGGCUAUUUGAGGCAUUUGGCAACAUCGAGGAGUGCACAAUCCUUCGGGGACCCGAUGGCAACAGCAAAGGGUGUGCAUUUGUGAAAUACUCUUCACAUGCAGAGGCCCAAGCAGCCAUCAAUGCCUUGCAUGGCAGCCAGACAAUGCCGGGAGCCUCUUCCAGCCUGGUGGUGAAGUUUGCAGAUACGGACAAGGAGCGUACAAUGAGACGCAUGCAGCAAAUGGCAGGACAAAUGGGCAUGUUCAACCCCAUGGCGAUCCAGUUUGGAGCAUAUGGUGCCUAUGCACAGGCACUGAUGCAGCAGCAAGCCGCGAUCAUGGCGUCAGUGGCGCAGGGCGGCUACCUGAACCCCAUGGCAGCCUUUGCUGCAGCCCAGAUGCAGCAAAUGGCAGCCCUGAACAUGAACGGGCUGGCUGCUGCUCCCAUGACACCAACCUCAGGAGAGUGGGUUCCUUGGGACAUGGCCAUGAGUUCAUUCAGGCUCACGAGUUCCCAUGGUGGAAGCACGCCUCCUGGCAUAACUGCACCAGCUGUGCCUAGCAUCCCAUCUCCAAUUGGGGUGAAUGGUUUCACUGGCCUCCCGCCGCAGGCUAAUGGGCAGCCCGCCGCCGAAGCCGUGUUUGCUAAUGGCAUUCACCCUUACCCAGCACAAAGCCCCACUGCAGCAGACCCCUUGCAGCAAGCCUACGCUGGAGUGCAGCAGUACGCAGGUCCUGCUUAUCCUGCUGCUUAUGGCCAGAUUAGCCAAGCCUUCCCACAGCCACCUCCCAUGAUCCCACAGCAACAGAGAGAAGGACCAGAGGGCUGUAACCUGUUUAUCUACCAUCUGCCCCAGGAGUUUGGGGAUGCUGAGCUGAUGCAGAUGUUCCUGCCUUUCGGUAAUGUCAUCUCCUCGAAAGUGUUUGUGGAUCGGGCGACAAACCAAAGUAAAUGCUUUGGUUUUGUGAGUUUUGACAAUCCUGCCAGUGCCCAAGCUGCUAUCCAGGCUAUGAAUGGCUUCCAAAUUGGCAUGAAGAGGCUGAAGGUGCAGCUGAAGAGGCCAAAGGAUGCUAACCGUCCCUACUGAAGAGUUGCAGGAACCACUGGAUACAAAGCACUAGCACAGAGCCAGUCAAAUCCACCACAGUCUCGCGCUGAGCUAGGAAAAAAGUUCACGUAAUGACAUGAAAGUGGAGAAUACAGUCCCCCAGGCCGGCAGCAGCUGAAUGGGCUACAUUUAGCAAAAAAAAAAAAGUAUAUAUAUGUUAAAAAAAACAGGAACUGUUGGAUUACACCUUUGACAUAUCAGCAAAUAUCAAUCAAGCUGAAGACUUCAGAAUUAUUCUCUCUUUGAUUGUUUAGACUGUAACAUUUCUUCAAGGAAAGUAUCACAUCUGCUGACUUCGAAGGACAUGCGCUUGAAAACAAACAAACAAACAAACACAUAAGUAAAAUCAGAACAGGAACAAGAUCAACCAGGAUUUCUGAAGAGACACUGAUAUCACCACAGCGGCUUUCUUCAAACAGGAGAUGCAAACCUGGAUACUGGCAAAGGAGUGCCUGUUUGCCACCAAGGAUGCGGUUAUCAUGUGUGACCCAUGGUAACAGUCACUGAGCAUCUUUAUCUGUCAUUCCUUAGCUAUAUGGGGACCAAAGGACAAAACUUUUUACCGCAGACUUGUAGCUGUAUGUAAAAUAUGGAAGUUCUUUCCUUUUCUCUGAGCUGUUCCUAAAACAGUUUUUGAGAGCGAUUAUAAGAAAUAUGUAAAAAUUUAAAAAAAAAAAAUAAUAAUAAUAAUGCUUAAAUGCUUUUAAAAUGGCAAGAUAAUAGUUCUUUGAUACUUUGGGAGGUUCUUUGGUUAUACAUUAAUUAGAGUCUAUGAAGCUUUCACAUGGUUUUCUGUAUAAUACGUAAGGAUUGCGCUGUUAAAGGCAGGUAAGAUGGAUAUCUAUGAAAAGCAAAAAAGUAAAUAAAUAAAUACAUAAAUAAAUACAUUAAAAGGCAUAGAGAAGAGAAAGGAAAGAUGGUUGAUAUUAAAUGGAAAACAAAAAAAGGUUUGUAAAUGCUUCUAACUCUCCCCAUUUAAAAUCCUAAUAGUUGUACAGAAUUUAAAAAAAGAAAGUUUAAAAUACCUAUAUAAUAGAAAAAAUUAGACAACAUAAAAAGAAAAAAAAAUAAAAAAAGCAAAAAAAAAAACUACAUAGAAGUUAGCGUUACUGCUAAAAACAAAGAUGUUGUAGAACUGUAAUUUUUGUAGAGUUUAGAUUGAGCAUAAAUUCCUACUCUCUGCCAAUUGCUGUUGGAUGCUGUUAUUUAUCGAGGAGAAAGAGGAGAGAAAUGGCUAUUUUGGCAGCUUUUUUAACUGCAAGCAUUCCAGCUAUUAAAAAAAUAAACGAAACGAAACUCAAUUCUGUAGACAAUGCAAAUGGGAAAAAAAAAAAAAAAA